This is a long non-coding RNA of Papaver somniferum (opium poppy), 1528 nucleotides long. RefSeq lists it as uncharacterized. The record is from RefSeq and is a predicted model, not a curated record. The transcript has 6 exons. NCBI's taxonomy places the organism in Eukaryota, Viridiplantae, Streptophyta, Magnoliopsida, Ranunculales, Papaveraceae.
UUUCUUAUUCUUUCUUUUUCUUCUGUUCUGGCGAUUCUGAAAGUUGUGAGAGAUGAUUCCGAAGCCGUGAAAUUGAAAGGAAACUUAGGGGAAACUUUAAGAGUUGAUUGUUGGUGAUGGUGUUGAUGAAUUCAGAAUUCUCAGAAAAGGUGAUGCAAUCAAGUGUGAUUUAGGGGUUUAAUGAAUUUACUCUUACAGCAACACAUACUUCAGUGCUUGAUCCAGGAGUUUUUUUUUGGCAGACAGUCACUAUGAAGGCGACCUUUUCUUCUACUUCUUCAAAGAGAUCCAUAGAUGAUUAGGUUUUUGUACUUUUGGUGAAUCGUUCGGUGAAGGAAUAGAUUUAGUGAAAUCACUGAAAUGGGUUCAUAUUGCACCAGAAAGAGGAUAUACACCAGAGCAAAUAUUGGAUUCAAGGUUGAGUACCAUUUCAUUUGCUUGGACGAAACAAAUGCCUGCUUUGCACUGAUACAACACCGGCUAAACGGCUGAAAAUGAAGAAAAUUGUGGAACUUCUUCAAGAAGUAAACUAUACCCGAUAUGGUCGGGUAUAGUUUACCAGAAAAAGGAAAGGAAACUAUGCCGGAUGGUCUGGAGAAGAAAAAGGAAAGUAAACAUGUAGUGAAAUACAGCACAGAAAAUUACAAGCAAUUUGAAAACUUGAAACUGUACAACCACAUGAAAAAUGGGGAUAGAGAGGCUUUACAAUCGUACUUUAAGCGGACGACCCCUUCGGAUUUUGCUUGGAGAUUGAUUAUUGACCAUGAUGGGGGAGUAUCAUUCUCCGUUACUGGAAUGCCCUUGAGGGCGAGUUACUGGAAUACUACAGUACAAGCUUGAUUUGAAGCAAAAACAAGCAGAAUCUCAAAUGCAGGAUAGCCAAGCUCCAGAAAAAUAUGCAAAAUCUGUUUUCAUGAAGCCGGGAGCACUAGAACUACUGCAAUCAAAUGAUGAAGAUGGUGUUAAUGAAUAUAUCCGCGACUUCAUCCUACGUAUCCCAGACGAUGUGACAGAACUGUUCAUCCCAAUAUUUACAAGAUCACGCUUCUCCACUUCAAUUUCUCUGAUCACCGUUGGAAGCACUACAACUCCUUGUCGAAUAUUAAACACCAAAAAGGCAUGCAAGACUACUGCGGAACUCAUGAUGGAUGCUUGUAAUCUUCCUAUUAGGCAAAGAAAUAUGAAUCAUCGAGCUGUCAUCUCGCCAGAGAUCGACCAAAUUGUGGACACACCUUUUUCUGAACCUGUUUGUACUCAACAGAAGAAGUCUGAUUGUCUUCUUUUUGUAUGCUACUUUAUGAAACGUAUCAUGAGAGGAGAAGAUAGACUCCCACGAGAAGCGAAGUGCUGCAGAAAAUUAAAGAAAAGCGGAUCAAGAUGGCAGUUAAACUAGUGACUGAUAAGGAUCAUAGCAAUCAUACUUAGGAUUGUGGUUUUCCUUUGACUGACAGCACGGUUAAAAUAAAGUUUUAGACUUUUUUUUUUUUGGAAUAAUUAAGAUACUUGAAAGAACCUCAAAUGUUGCAGA